This 465-nucleotide ribosomal RNA is filed under the name uncultured bacterium. Its description in RNAcentral is "partial 16S ribosomal RNA". It matches the Rfam family "Bacterial small subunit ribosomal RNA", at positions 338 to 795 of the family's 1533-position model. The record is from RNAcentral.
CCUACGGGAGGCUGCAGUGGGGAAUUUUGGACAAUGGGCGCAAGCCUGAUCCAGCUAUUCCGCGUGUGGGAUGACGGCCCUCGGGUUGUAAACCACUUUAGUAGAGAACGAAAAGGAGCUAUCGAAUAAAUAGCUCUGCUGACGGUACUCUAAGAAUAAGCACCGGCUAACUCCGUGCCAGCAGCCGCGGUAAUACGGAGGGUGCGAGCGUUAAUCGGAAUUACUGGGCGUAAAGCGCUCGUAGGCGGUAUGUCAAGUCAAGGGUGAAAUCCCCGCGCUCAACGUGGGAACUGCCUUUGAAACUGGCAAACUGGAGUGUGUGAGAGGAUAGUGGAAUUCCAGGUGUAGGAGUGAAAUCCGUAGAUAUCUGGAGGAACAUCAGUGGCGAAGGCGACUAUCUGGCACAUAACUGACGCUGAGGAGCGAAAGCGUGGGUAGCAAACAGGAUUAGAUACCCCAGUAGUC